This 253-nucleotide ribosomal RNA is filed under the name uncultured bacterium. RNAcentral's name for it is "partial 16S ribosomal RNA". It matches the Rfam family "Bacterial small subunit ribosomal RNA", at positions 524 to 776 of the family's 1533-position model. The record is from RNAcentral.
UACGUAGGGGGCGAGCGUUGUCCGGAAUUAUUGGGCGUAAAGAGCUCGUAGGCGGUCUGUCACGUCGGCUGUGAAAACCCGGGGCUCAACCCCGGGCCUGCAGUCGAUACGGGCAAACUAGAGUUCGGCAGGGGAGACUGGAAUUCCUGGUGUAGCGGUGAAAUGCGCAGAUAUCAGGAGGAACACCGGUGGCGAAGGCGGGUCUCUGGGCCGAUACUGACGCUGAGGAGCGAAAGCGUGGGGAGCGAACAGG